This 28-nucleotide small RNA is filed under the name Bombyx mori (domestic silkworm). Its description in RNAcentral is "piRNA piR-bmo-1862560". Lineage: Eukaryota; Metazoa; Arthropoda; Insecta; Lepidoptera; Bombycidae. The record is from RNAcentral.
UCAUUGGAUAGGAGCAUAGAAGCUUUGC